AAAUUGAAGAGUUUGAUCAUGGCUCAGAUUGAACGCUGGCGGCAGGCCUAACACAUGCAAGUCGAACGGUAACAGGAAGCAGCUUGCUGCUUUGCUGACGAGUGGCGGACGGGUGAGUAAUGUCUGGGAAACUGCCUGAUGGAGGGGGAUAUCUACUGGAAACGGUAGCUAAUACCGCAUAACGUCGCAAGACCAAAGAGGGG
Molecule: ribosomal RNA, 203 nt
Filed under: Escherichia coli
Lineage: Bacteria; Pseudomonadati; Pseudomonadota; Gammaproteobacteria; Enterobacterales; Enterobacteriaceae
Description: partial 16S ribosomal RNA
Rfam family: Bacterial small subunit ribosomal RNA
Source: RNAcentral